RNAcentral lists this ribosomal RNA (18 nucleotides) under Aspergillus niger. RNAcentral describes it as "partial 28S ribosomal RNA". The record is from RNAcentral. Lineage: Eukaryota; Fungi; Ascomycota; Eurotiomycetes; Eurotiales; Aspergillaceae.
AUCAGUAAGAAACCCAUA